GUAAAGGCAAAAGAGAGCUUGAUUGCAAGACAUACAGGUCGAGCAAGGAUGAAAAUCGGACUUAGUGAUCCGGUGGUUCUGCGUGGAAGGGCCAUCGCUCAACGGAUAAAAGCUACCCUGGGGAUAACAGGCUUAUCUCCCCCAAGAGUCCACAUCGACGGGGAGGUUUGGCACCUCGAUGUCGGCUCAUCACAUCCUGGGGCUGUAGUAGGUCCCAAGGGUUGGGCUGUUCGCCCAUUAAAGUGGUACGCGAGCUGGGUUCAGAACGUCGUGAGACAGUUCGGU
RNAcentral lists this ribosomal RNA (285 nucleotides) under Clostridioides difficile. RNAcentral's name for it is "partial 23S ribosomal RNA". It matches the Rfam family "Bacterial large subunit ribosomal RNA", at positions 2351 to 2635 of the family's 2925-position model. Lineage: Bacteria; Bacillati; Bacillota; Clostridia; Peptostreptococcales; Peptostreptococcaceae. The record is from RNAcentral.